GAUGAACGCUGGCGGCGUGCUUAACACAUGCAAGUCGAACGAUUAAAGCCCCUUCGGGGGUGUAUAGAGUGGCGAACGGGUGAGUAACACGUGGGCAAUCUGCCCCUCACUUCGGGAUAACUCAGGGAAACCUGUGCUAAUACCGGAUACUCCGGACUGAUCGCAUGGUCGGUCCGGGAAAGCUCCGACGGUGAGGGAUGAGCCCGCGGCCCAUUAGCUAGUUGGUGAGGUAACGGCCCACCAAGGCGACGAUGGGUAGCCGAGCUGAGAGGCUGACCGGCCACACUGGGACUGAGACACGGCCCAGACUCCUACGAGAGGCAGCAGUGGGGAAUUUUGCGCAAUGGGCGAAAGCCUGACGCAGCAACGCCGCGUGCGGGAUGAAGGCCUUCGGGUUGUAAACCGCUUUCAGCAGGGAUGAAAAAAGACAGUACCUGCAGAAGAAGCCCCGGCUAACUACGUGCCAGCCGCCGCCGUAA
RNAcentral lists this ribosomal RNA (479 nucleotides) under uncultured bacterium. Its description in RNAcentral is "partial 16S ribosomal RNA". It matches the Rfam family "Bacterial small subunit ribosomal RNA", at positions 28 to 523 of the family's 1533-position model. The record is from RNAcentral.